Molecule: unclassified non-coding RNA, 2789 nt
Filed under: Hevea brasiliensis (rubber tree)
Lineage: Eukaryota; Viridiplantae; Streptophyta; Magnoliopsida; Malpighiales; Euphorbiaceae
Source: RNAcentral
GAAUCCUUCAUGUUCAAGCCAUUGAUCAUUAAUUCUUUCUCUCUCUUUCUCUCUUACAAUUUCCUUUCACAUUCCUUCUAUUGUUUGUGUUAGCAAAUUUUUAAUCCUUUUUUUUCACUGAAUUCUGGUUUUUCUACUUGUACUUGCAUCAUGCUUACACUAAUAGUAUUCUUUCUUUAACAUUUUCUUUUUGGGGUUCGGAUCAAAUAGUUCAUUGCUCUGUUUUAUAAAGCUCCAUCUCAAUAGGCAAUAGAGACUUGGAGUGGAAAAAAAACAUGGCAGAAAUGGUUAAUUAUCCCAUGGAGCGCCAACUGGGUUGUGGCCUAAUGGGAGGGAUUUUUCCUCGCCGGAGCUGGCAAAGGAAAACAUGUGCAUAUUCACUGCCUGCAGAGAGCAGCAACAAUGUAUUGAAGGAAAAGCAUCCUCCUGUCGAUAUUUCCAAGAGGCAGAGAAGCAAAUCUGAAGCUGCCAUUAUUGACACCUCCAAUCCGGCUAAACCAUCGCCAGAAGUAGGCCAAAAACUUGCCAGAAGGCAUAGUUUGGUUGCUCCAACAGCUUCAACUUCUCAUCAGAAGAAUGAGGGUAGAAAAUCCUCCGAUGCUGCAAGAAUCUCAACAUCAUCUUCGAGUUCGAGCCAAAUGAAAUUAUCACAGACCAAUGGGGCAAAGCUAAGGAAGGACUCCGAAAGUGACUCCAAAGAGCUUAGUAUGAGCAUCACAACUAAUCAUCAACAGUCCAGAGAUAGCAAAACCCUGGUUAGAGCUACUUCGAGCAAUGUGAUGCCAUUAGGCGACUUGGGCAACUUGAGGCAGCUGGGAAAUGGGAAUAUUACGGGUAAUAACAGUCCUAAUAAAACAAUAAAGACUGCGGAUUCCCUUCAUAGGAAUAUUCAAGAAGCAAACUCCACACCCAGAACUAGAAAUAGCUAUAGCAAACUGGGUGGUAAUGGUGUUAUGGGCAACAUUAUGAGGCAGUCCAGCGGCGAGUUUCGACAAUGUCAAAGCCUAACAAGUAGAAUGGAUCCUGAAGUUCUGAAGAAUAUGGGAAAUGAGAAGUACAAACAGGGAAGAUUUGAAGAGGCCUUGGCUUUUUAUGAUCGAGCAGUUGCUCUUGAUUCAAAUAAAGCAACAUAUCGGAGCAAUAGAAGUGCUGCUUUGAUAGGAUUAGGCCGUCUUACAGAUGCUGUCGCCGAGUGCAAAGAAGCUAUUAGGCUUGAUCCUUCUUAUCAAAGAGCACAUCACCGGUUGGCGACACUAUAUUUCAGAUUAGGAGAAGCGGAGAAAGCAUUAUAUCACUACGAACGAUCAGGCUCCUGCGCUGACCCUGAAGACAUUGCUCAAGUUCAGGCCUUGCAAAAGCACCUGAACAGGGGCAUCCAAGCUCGAAAAUUAAAAGAAUGGAAUACUUUGGUAAAGGAAACCGAUUGUGCAAUUUCCUUUGGUGCUGAUUCAUCUCCACAGAUAUAUGCAACGCAAGCUGAGGCCCUGUUGAGACUGCACAGACAUGAGGAAGCCUACAGAGCCUACCGGAGGGCACCGAAUUUUAGCGUUGACUCUUGCACUAAGUGCGUUGGCUUGCCAAGCACCUCUUAUCUCUUAAUAAUUGGGGCGCAGGUUUAUAUGGCUGCAGGCAGGUUUGAAGACGCUACAGCAGCAGCUCAGCUAGCUGCUCAACUUGAUCCAAGCAACAGGGAGGUCAGUACAGUAGUAAAAACUGCUAGAGCCGUAGCAUCUGCAAGAUUGAGUGGGAACCUGCUAUACAAGGCAUCCAAAUUCUCAGAGGCCUGCGUCGCAUAUAGUGAAGGACUAGAACAUGACCCUAAUAACUCAAUUUUACUAUGCAACCGAGCAGCUUGUCGAUCCAAGCUUGACCAAUUUGAAAAAGCUGUGGAAGACUGCACCGCAGCUCUUAGGUUGCAGCCUAACUAUAGCAAGGCCAGGCUAAGAAGGGCUUAUUGCAAUGCGAAGCUUGAAAGAUGGGAAGCUUCAAUUCAAGAUUAUGAGAUGUUGAUAAGAGGAAGUCCAGCGGAUGAGGAGGUGGGCAGGGCCUUGUUUGAGGCCAGGAUUCAGCUGAAGAAGCAACGCGGUGAAGACACCAAGGACCUGAAAUUUGGUUCUAAUUUGGUGUUCAUUUCCAGCAAUGAACGCUUUAGAUACUUUGUAACUUCGCCUGGAAUGUCAGUGGUGCUCUUUUGUAACAAAGAUAAUCAUAGGCAAGUGUUGCAGCUGAUGGAGCAAGUCUGCAAGCGUUACCCAUCUGUCAACUUUCUAAAGGUGGAGGUGGAGGAUCACCCUUACAUAGCAAAGUCAGAGAGUGUAACAUAUCUUCCAUCCUUCAAGAUAUACAAGAAUGGAUCCAGGGUGAAAGAAAUUCCAGGCAACAACCGCGAAUUACUCGAAAAAUCAGUUAAAUUGUACAGCAGUUGAAUAAGAUAAUUAACCAAAACUGUAAACAUGAUAAAAUUAGUAUGGGAACGAAAAGAAAGCAGCAUCACAUAUAAAAGCAGAAAAAAGAAUAAAGAAGGAAUCAUACUGGCUGCGCCAUGGAUUAAACAAAUUGGAGAGUUCUUUUGUGUUUCUUGAUGAUAAGUUAUUUUUAUUUUAUUUUAAUUUUUUGUUACUUUGAAUAGGAUGCUUAAUGACUGUUUUAUUCAGUUCUCUACCCUACCCAAAUAUCUUUAGCGCCGGCUUUGGCAAAUAAUCAGUUUGCUAAUUAUGUAGUGUGGAGUGGAAAGCAAAAAUUAAACAGUAAGAAUUUGCUUUUGUGUGGAAAGACUUAGAUUAGUGUUG